UACGUAGGGUGCGAGCGUUAAUCGGAAUUACUGGGCGUAAAGCGUGCGCAGGCGGUGAUGUAAGACCGAUGUGAAAUCCCCGGGCUUAACCUGGGAACUGCAUUUGUGACUGCAUGGCUGGAGUGCGGCAGAGGGGGAUGGAAUUCCGCGUGUAGCAGUGAAAUGCGUAGAUAUGCGGAGGAACACCGAUGGCGAAGGCAAUCCCCUGGGCCUGCACUGACGCUCAUGCACGAAAGCGUGGGAG
Molecule: ribosomal RNA, 244 nt
Filed under: uncultured bacterium
Lineage: Bacteria
Description: partial 16S ribosomal RNA
Rfam family: Bacterial small subunit ribosomal RNA
Source: RNAcentral